This 378-nucleotide unclassified non-coding RNA is filed under the name plant metagenome. RNAcentral's name for it is "partial contains 5.8S ribosomal RNA, internal transcribed spacer 2, and large subunit ribosomal RNA". The stretch from base 1 to 105 matches the Rfam family "5.8S ribosomal RNA", at positions 50 to 154 of the family's 154-position model. The record is from RNAcentral.
GAAAUGCGAUAAGUAAUGUGAAUUGCAGAAUUCAGUGAAUCAUCGAAUCUUUGAACGCACCUUGCGCUCCUUGGUAUUCCUUGGAGCAUGCCUGUUUGAGUAUCAUGAAAUCUUCAAAGUAAAUCUUUUGUUAACUCAAUUGGUUUCUACUUUGGUAUUGGAGGUCUUUGCAGCUUCACACCUGCUCCUCUUUGUUCAUUAGCUGGAUCUCAGUGUUAUGCUUGGUUCCACUCGGCGUGAUAAGUUAUCUAUCGCUGAGGACACUGUAAAAGGUGGCCAAGAUAAAUGCAGAUGAACCGCUUCUAAUAGUCCAUUGACUUUGACAAUACUUUUAUGAUCUGAUCUCAAAUCAGGUAGGACUACCCGCUGAACUUAAGC